CCGCCCGGCCCCCCGGCGCCGCCCGGCCCCCGCCGGUUACUAUGGCGCCCCUUCCGCGCAGGCCCGGCCCGGUUAGGCCCGGCGGCCGAGGGGUGCGGUCCUGCAGGAUGGCAGCCUGGGGUCGAGCACGGGGUGCGCCGGUGGGCGCAGGCAGGUCACCCGCGCCGCCUCUGUGAGAGCGCCCGGCACAGCUCCACAGCUCCUGGCCCCCUUGAGCCCUCCCCACGGCCGUUUUGCACACGUUGGGUCAGCCCUGUGGGACACGGGUCCACCAUCAGUUUGGGCCUAACAGGUUAGGGGAAGUAUUCGCUGGGAUUUUCAGGAUAGUGCAUUUUUGCAGGCUGGACUGAAACUGCUAAUUCUAUUGUAUGUUUUUAUUCCUCUAUGGACUGCAAGGUCCUUUCCAGGAGAAUUCAGUGGCACACCAAACGCUUCAGCUCAUCUAGGUGCAUUUUCUGGAAAAAAAGUUGCAACAGACUAAAGAACGUGAAUCAGUUUUUAGAAGCUCAAAAGGAAAGAACAGUUGUUCAGAAGAGCACUGAGCUUUUAAAACCAUUCAACAUUCAAGUGAAUGUCUCCAAAAUAGUCUUGAAAGAGGUUUCUCACCAUUGUAUGGGAAGAAUGUUAUUGCUUUUCUUACAUAAAUAGGAACAAGCACCUUAAGAAACAUGAUCUGUAUCUGUUGAUGCUAAAAAAGUUGUUAUUCCUUUAAAUGCUGUCUCCCAGAGUGAGACUACAUAGUAUGAAUAUUCUCUAUACAAUUGAGAACUCAUAUGGAAUUUGUGCCAAAGACCAUUAUGGAUACAAAAAGCUUACAGAGCAGACUGGACAAAAGUUUCAAAUGGAUCUAGGGACCAGCCUAGAGAAUGGGGGAAGUAUUGUUACAUUGCCCUCAGCCUAGAGCUGUUAGAGAAGUGCUCGCCAGGUAAGGACGUUGUUCUGAACCAGCCCAUCCAUUCACAUGUUCUCAGGGAGGCACUGCAGUGGUUGGGCUGCUAGAAUUAAAAGGAGCUAGAAAGUUUGGCCAAGGUGAUAGGUUAUCUUGUCUGCCUUAACGUCUCACCUAGCUGCUCAGUCUGGUAUAUUAUAAUGGGCCCAUCAGUAGUCAUAAAACAUGCUGUCAGCCAAAAAGAGGUAAAAGUGCCUUUAAAAGAGAAUCUAGACCAACAUCUUUCUUUUAAUCUUACACAUCUAUACCCGGUUUUAUUUGGGAUUUCCUGGCAAGAUAUCUGACCAUCUAUUAUAAAGAUAAGAUUUCUUGAUUUUCCUAGGAAGAAGCAGAUGUGAGACUGUGAUGAUAGCAUAUUAUUUAUUAUACAUAGACACCACAAGACUUUUCAUGAGGUUGGCUCAUCUUUAAAGAAAAGCUUUCACCUACAUUUUUAAGAGGCUAAAUUGGAAAAUACGUGCUUGCUUUUUUUUUUUUGUGGGCUGUACUUCAGGAGCCAAGAGAUCCAGAUAAGCUAAAAGGGGAGCCAUGAGAUUUUGCUGAGAAGGUCUCUCCUGCUGAAAUUUUUGCUUUGCGUUCUGAUGUACAGGACUAUUUACUUUUCAGAACAAAGCUCAGUGCUCACCAAUUUCCAGAGAGUAGUUAAUUAAAUAAUAAUAGGAUGAGAGUCUAUCCCUUUUGUUGAUGUCCCGUUUCAUGUCUUUAAACCGAGUAUGACACUUGGAUCUGGGAUGAUGCAGAAGAUAAUGAUAUUAAGAUUACAGUAUAUUUAAAACAAAGUAAUUAAUCUGUCCUUUUCAUCAGCAUGAACUCAAAUCCUUUAAGAAUUUGAUUCAUGUUAAGUGUUGUUGACAUUCUGGGUGUGCCCUCAUAAAUGAGCAUAAAUCAGUGUGUUUAAACAGAAACAUCUACAAUAUGGUAUCAAAGCUUUAUAGCGGUGGUAUAUGUUUCAGAGUAUUUAAACAGUUUGCAAUGCUACCUAAUAGUCUGUCAAAUCAAGUGUUGUCAGACAGGUAAUGAAAGAGGCAGCUAUUUUAUUAUUUUAGCCACUGCUCCUGUCUUGUUUAAUUCAUUUGUGAUGAAAAUGGCCAGCUCUGUAUUGUCACACUUGCAUGGAAAUAAAUUGUUCUCGUCUCUCUAAAGAUCACUUCUAAAUAGUUAAGGAAAGAAAGUCCCUGACUUCCCUUUGUUACAAAGCAAAGAGAAAGUCUGAGUAUUGUGAUGUCUUCUCAUUUCAAACAAAUGGUACAUAGCCAAUUUAACAGAUAGAGGUAUGGAUAUGUGGGCUGAACCUGAUCUGUGUUUUGCAUCUUACCAAAGGUUCGUAGUACACUCAUCUGCCAUUGCCUGCAGUAGGAAUUAAACACACAGCCUCUCACAGAAUCGAGAUCUUAAUUAAGUAUGCAAGAAAUAUAAAAAUGUAAAAUUCACCUUGCAUAUUUGCAGCUUCGAUCCAUUCCCAUAUGCUUCAAAGACACUACCAGAUGGUUCAAGUUACCAAAUUUAAUGUGGCCUUGCAGACAUACAAACAGUGGGCCAAACUUGAAAGAGAACAUUUCACUGGGCCUUAAAAUGAAAUUAAUUCUCAUGGUGAGAGAAACAGAUGAAAACAUGAAGUUCUCCGUCCCCUCUUCCUGUAUUUCCUAUCUUAUCAAGUGAUUUUAUACAAGGUACAUUGUCCACAUGGUAUGCAGAAAGGAUCAAAAAUACAUCACAGUAUGGUGUAUGCUAGUUCUCAAGUGUUAAGGUUGCCAAUUUUCUGCUCUUCCACUUAUCUUGUGAAAUCAAUUAUGAAACAUCUAGAAGGAUAAGAGAUCAGGAAUUUCUGGUUUCGUGCUAUUUUUAUCUGAAGUAUACUGGAGGACUGUAUUGGGGUUUCAGAAGCUGAAUUUUUUUGAAGGAAAAUAGUGUUUUCAACAACAUAUUUUGUAAAUUAAAGGAUAUCUAAAGGCAUUUUGUUUUAUUUCCUCCAAAAUCAAGGAUCCAUAGAAGCUAUGUAGAUGUUAUUUGUGAAAUACAUCAUAUAGAUUACAGAUGUCUAGAGAACAGAUAUAUAUAAAUGUUUGAUACCAUUAUAAGUAUGUGUCUGUAUUUGCAAAUAUUUAAAAUAUUUGCAUAUUAUCAGCUGAAUGGUCAGGAGAAAGAAAAGACAGAGGGCUGCUCACCAGCAGAGACAGGUGACAAUGUGAGGACUUGUCUGUAUCACCAGGUUUUCCACAGCACCGAAAAGAGAAUUCUCAUUGGCCAAGACAGAAUGCAAGUAGAUGAUUAAUCAGUUUUCAAUUCAGAUCAAUUAUUUUUCUUUUUGAUAAAUCUCCCAAAUAGAGCUGAGAUUCCACUGCUUGAGCUCUCCUGGAAUGAAGAGAUCUCCACAGACUUACUGAAAAACUUGCUUUCUCAUCCAAUUCAGAUGUCAUUUGCUUGAGAGUGGAUUUCUUCCCCCUUUGUAUUUACAAGAUUUCUGUGAAGCAACACUUAGGAUGUUUUGUAAAGCUCCAAGCAGGGAGGUCUUGCAACAGAAGAUUCCCGCCCCAUUAUGUAAAAAAGUAGGCAACACACCUUCUCUUAUGUGCUUUUAAAUAAUACUUCAGGCACAGAAUUAUAGGUGCUAAUAGAAACAUAAAGAUCCAGGCUCUGUUGUCUCUGAGAACAUACAAAUACAGCAAUGAGUUCACAAACUAAAACAUUAUUUUUAGGGCUAGAAGCUUAUCUUUUUUGGUUGGUUGGCUGGUUUUGGUCGUUUAAUUUUUGAACAAAAUGGCUUGUUUGAAUCUAACCUAGUGCCUUAGAGACUUUGGCUACCAUCAGAAAAGUACCACACAAGGGGGCACAGUUGGCAUUUGAAGUGCAGAAGGUCAGGACUGAGACAUAGUAAAACUAUGUUGGGAGGUUCCAUUAGGGCUUCCUGUUGUAGCAAAUAAAUCCAGUCCCCUUCACAUUUAAUAGGUUGAUGCAGAUACAUCAUCCACGUGUCAUCUGCCAUCAGUUUUUAAGGUGUGUGAUAAACUGUGAGACUACUGGGUACAGAACAAAAUUCCUUUCUUUGCUGAGAUUUCAGCAUUUUCCUGCUGGAUCUCCAGGAACUUCAGACCACCUUUCUUCUGCUACAUGGUUCUUUUCUCAAUGAAGCUGUCACCCUCAAAUCUAAUAAAAACCUAUCAUCCUUUUCUGGGCUUUUUAGUUUGACAGUUUCAUGUCAGAGCUUUGUUCCACAAUAAAAAUAAAAAAUCUCUAAGUGUUAAAGGAGUCCUUGGAAAACUGUAAGUGAUAGAGUCAGCAUUUACAGAACAUAUCACAACAGGUCUGACUGACCUUGGCAGCAACAGGAGAUCACCAUUUCUCAUGGAUGAGCUAUUCCUAAAUGUCUGUCUUUUACGCUGUAUAAGGCAGAAAUACCCUUCUGGAUCAAGGCUACUACUUUCUGUUUCUCUUUAUCAGAAAUUACAGGGACAUGUUCUGUUUAAGGAAAAUCUUCCUGAAAUCCUGUAUUUUGUUCUGUGACACCUUAAGAUAAUGAUAUGCUGCAGAUGUUAUUUUAAAGUCUCAUGCUAUUUUGCUGUUGACUUGUUUGAGGAUUUUGUAUGUUUUCUUUUUAUCACAGUCACGCUUCAAAGAUUAAUGUUUGUGGAUGUUCUCAAAAUCAUCUGCCUUUAUGCUGGUUAUCAGAGCAUAAUCAACACUGUUUUCUUAUUGGAAUGUCCCUUGUUCUGUUUUUAGAAGUUUCCAGGUGUACCAGUUGCAGAGGCUGAAUAGUCAGUCUUGAUUGUUCAUCUUUGAAAACAGCUGCUUUGGUAGCACUAUCUGACCAUGCAAAUGUUGGUCUCCCUCCUGUUUGUUAGCUCCCUUUAAGUACUGGAAGGCCACAAUGAGGUUUCCCUGCAGCCUUCUCUUCUCCAGACUGAACAAGCUCAGCUCCCUGUCUUCAUAGGACAGAUGCUCCAGCCCUUUGAUUAUCUUUACGGCCCUCCUCUGGAAUUGCUCCAACAACUCUCCAUCCUUCUUAUACUGGAGACCCCAGGCCUGAGUGCAGUACUCUGGAUGGAUCCUCAUGGGGGCAGAGCAGAGGGGGACAACCACUUCCCUGCUGGCCACCCAUCUUUUGAUACAGUCCAGGGUGCUGUUGGCCUUCUGGGCUGCAAGAGCACGCUUCUGGCUCAUGUCCAGCUUUUCAUCCGCCAAGACCCAAGUCUUUCUCUGCAGGGAAGCCCCACGCCACACUGGAAAUGGCUGUGUUUCUGACCGUUUGUUGAAUGCUUAUAGUUUUAUAAGAGACUCCCGGAGUCAGUUGCCUUACUGCAUAUUGCCCUGGAAAUAAUUAAGUAGAAACCAAGGAUAGCUGAAAAUAGAGAAGAACAAGGAGAAACUCAGUCUAGUUCGUAGCUGUAGAACACACAAAAAAAUACCCACCCUCCUAAGAUACCCUUCCCCUUUCCCAUAGUGGAAUUUUCCUGAUUUGGAAUUACCUUGAGACAACACAAAUUGCCCAAGAGGUCAGCAGGCCCAGUCUGUUUUAGUGGAGGGUAGGAGGUGGUUUCAAAGCUGAGAGCUCCUUGACAUGAUUGGUUUCCAAGUGUCUCACUUUCUUUUUAAUAAAGUGUCACGCUACACUGCUCACUGUCGUAUUCUGGAAAAACAGUCCGUGGAAGAAGGUCCAGUGUUUUGUGGCAUGAAAUCAUAGUUCAGUGUCAUCUCCAAGGUUCCUUUUUAGUUUGCUGGAGAAACAUGUAAUGAGUAUUUACAUAUGUGUAACUAGCACUGCAGCAGGGAGAGAGAGCUGAAGCAUGUGUUUACAUUUGGUGAGAGCCACGUAUGUCCUACAUCUGCUUGCCUGUCUCUCAUUAGCAUGGGAUAUGUCAAUUAUGUGUAAAAAAAAAGAAGCCAGUUGUCAAUGCCAACAAUUUUAUACUUUUGGUUUAUUUUUCUCAUUUUUCUGUUUCUGUAAGCUUAAAAAAAAAUGAGAUUAUAUUAAAAAAAUCAGUCCAGGGAAGAGGAAGAUGCAAACUGAGAACCUUAAAGUAAGAAGUGCCUUUAAGAAGAAAUGUACUAUAAGGAAGGGGUUUAAGGAAUCUGAGCACAGCUCAUUUGUGGCACGAGUACAAUGCCAAGUGACACUGAGGGAAGGGUGGGGAGAGACAAUAUUUCUGAAUUUCCAUGUCUGUGUGGAUUUAAGUCAGACCCUUAACCUUAUUUGAAUAUAGCAUUUUUGUCAUUUAAUAUAUUUCAUACAGAAUAUAUAAAGAAGAUUUAAUAACUGUCUCUUAGCUGUGGUUUAUCUCUACCUCAGAGAAAGCCAAAAUGAGUUUCUGUGAAAUGGCUGAAAGAGCAUACAUGGUAAGUCUUCUAUCACAUUAUUUCCAGUCUUGCUGAUUUGUAAAAGAUCUUUCAGAAAGAUUCUGUCUUUCAGUGUAAAAUGUUAAAGUUUGAUUCUAUGCCCAAAGUUUAUAAAAGGAACUGCAAAUAACCAGUGAAAGUCUAGCUUGCCAUCUUCUGCUUUUUAAAACUCCUGAGACUGCUUGCAAUCACAUGGAAUUUGCACUAGUGUUUAACUCAAGGUUUUCCCUUAAAAAAAAAUAAAAAAAUUCUAGCAUCUUUCUGGUUAUAACAGCAGUUAAAUAUCUUGAAAAUAACUAAUCAGAUCCCCAGGCUUCCAUGUGCCUUUAUGUUUUUCCCUUUAAGAUGUGCGUCACAGAUAAGGACUAACUGUGCACACAGUCUUAGGGCACUAAGGACACAAAAUGAACAACACUUAUGUAAUUAGUCAGCACACCCAAGUGUUCCUGGAUAAGAUCUUCUGAAGUAUCAUAGCAGAAAUAUAAAUUGAAUGCUUCUUUUUCUGUAUUAAAAACUUAAAUAUUCAUGUAGUGUUUCACAUUCUCUGGGUAGCUUUGCAUCAGACUGAGUUGUUCUUGGUGAGUGGGAUUGCACAGGGCUGGUUGGCUGUUUUUCUCCUGCCCUAGAAGCAGGCUGGCCCACUGGAACAAUUUAAAGCAACAAAAAUUCCUAUUUCAGGCUUUGUAAGACAUCCCUUUGCUUUGACUGUGCUGCAGAGGUUAUUCAAAUUUUAAUGCAAGUGGUUUCCUAAUACUUGAGUUGACUGGCCAUCAGAAGGUAUAGCUGCCUGUUUUAAUGCAAUUAAUAUCACUAUUAAUGUGAUCAAUACUGCUGACUGUAUCUCCCAGUGGCUCUUCCCAAAGUGCUGUCCAUACACAUCCAGAAAGGUCAGACAAAUUCUCCCUUAACCUCGUGGGAAGAAAUCUGUGGAGGUGCAUGCUUUAUCACAAACAAAUAAAGGGAUAUACUGUCAUAAAUACUGGCAUUGCUUGUAAAUUAGGAGUUACUGUGGACACAGCAUUCAGGUGUAGGUGUAUUAGUGCUAGUUCUGCUGUGGAAACAAACUAUGCCAUCUGGCAUUUCUGAUUCAGAAGAAUCUCUGUAUUUGUCUUUCUUGAACACUCAAAAUCAGGUGUCCACGUCUGUUUUUUUCUUUCAUACAAUUUGGUUCAUUUGGCACAUUUUGUGCCUAGCAUAAGAAAGGUGUGUCUUUGCAGUCAGCUUCAGCAAAUUGAAAUCUGUGCUGAAAGCUGCUGGAAAUGGUGGCGCUGCUCUGCUUCCCUCGCUCCUGCAGCUGCCUCCUCCUGUGGCCUCCCUAGGGAAGAUGAGGUUGCUCGUGGCUGCAUGGCUGUAAGGGAACAGGCUAAAAAUUAGUGCAUGGCUUAGAUCUCAGGUGGAUCAGGGCUGGUUUUUUUUUGAUCCAGAUAGCUGGUUGCAUGAGAACUGGUGAUGAAAUAAGAGGAGAGGGGAGAACCUAGGUUUGAAUUGAGGAAGGAAAGAAAGGUGAAGAGAGUGGGCUGAUGCAGUCCAUACUUAGGUUUGCUUAAUGAAACUGUGCAUAGGAGUCCUCUUGCUAAACCAAGAAGUGAACUGUGUUUUUCAUGUUACAGAAAACCAAACACCAGAAAAUUCCUUGUUUAAGAUUUACUUAUUUACUUUCUGAGUGAUAUAUUGAGGAUUUGAAGCAGGGCCAUCAUACAGGAAAAAUAAACAAGAGUGGGUAUUGAGUGGAAGUAAUGGUAAUAGCUAGACAGUCCACACAGAUGGAGGCAGUACUCACUCAGUGGUCACUGUCUUUCCAUGAAACAUUAUUUGAGGGGCAAAUGUUGAAAAUAUACUUACACUAAAAAUGAUCAAAAAUGUCUAGAAGUCUGACUGGGAUGAAAGCUUGUAGAAAUAAAUUUCUCAUUUUCCUUU
This is a long non-coding RNA of Numida meleagris (helmeted guineafowl), 8197 nucleotides long. RefSeq lists it as uncharacterized. NCBI's taxonomy places the organism in Eukaryota, Metazoa, Chordata, Aves, Galliformes, Numididae. The record is from RefSeq and is a predicted model, not a curated record. The transcript has 2 exons.